AUAUUGUGAUACGGAUUGGGCAGGUUCUCCUAUUUAUAGACGAUCUACUACAGGAUAUUGUGUUUUCCUUGGAGGAAACAUUAUCUCAUGGAAAAGUAAGAAACAAAGUGUAGUGGCUCGAUCAACAGUUGAAGUUGAAUAUAGGGCAAUGGCUUCAUUAACAUGUGAACUUAUAUGGGUGAAGCAGUUCCUUCAAGAGCUUAGCUUCUGUGACAUCCAGAGUAUGAAGAUGUAUUGUGAUAACCAAGCUGCUCUUCACAUUGCAUCAAAUCCAGUGUUUCACGAGAGAACCAAACAUAUAGAAAUUGAUUGUCAUUUUGUUCGCGAAAAAUUAUUGUCAAAAGAAAUAUGUACUGAAUUUGUUGGAUCAAAUGACCAACUCGCAGAUGCAUUGACUAAGUCAUUGAGGGGACCUCGGAUUGAGUUUAUUUGUUCCAAGCUUGGAACAUACAAUCUGUAUGCUCCAGCUUGAGGGGGAGUGUUAGAAUCAUUACACAUAGCUAUCAUCAUUUAGGCUAGUACCUAGUUCUGUACCUAGUAGUCUAGUGCAGACUCUUGGUAUUACAUGUACUCUUGUGUUUUCAUUAUAAAUAGAAGAUAAUGAGAGGGAUCUUCUAAGCCCUCAAGAUUAUAUUUUUAUCAGUUUUAAUCUCAAGUAGUACAAACCUCAGUUUCUAUACUGAUUUUGUAAGGUUGAAUUAGACUUAAAAUCCACUUUCAAGGAGUGUGUAUCCCUCCUUUGCUCAUCACUAACUUUGUGAUGUUCUACUUGCUCAUUGUAACUUCAUCUUGUGCAUAGUUUAUUAACUAUUUUUCACAAGCUGUAGUCUUCCUAGAUGUUCAUCUCCAUUGCCUUCAUUAAGACUUGAGAAUAUAAGCAAAGGGAGAACAAUAUAUUUUUAAGAGCUUGCAAAUGUCUCCCUUAGGUGCUCAUAUUUAUUUACAACAUAUCUUUGAUACAAUGAUGAGAAAGGAAAGUGUAAAUGAUAAGUAAUCGUACCCAAAACAACUUUGAGUAAAGCUUACUUAACAUAUUUUGAAGUUAUUCUAAUAGUCCCUCAAGCAAAAAAAAUUGAAUGUACCAAGUUUGAAACAAAUAAAUUCAAUUUGAGGUUCUCUCAAUGAUUAUGUCAACAAAUUUGGAAGUUGAUCAAUGGAUCCGACAAAUCCAAUGCCAAUUUCCUUCGAUAACAAAUUUUCUCGAAUGUAAUGACAGUUUAUUGGCAUUAAUUCAACUCUAUUCUAACAAACUUUCCUUUGGCAUGUUUUAUGUAGUGUGCAGUUUUGUUCAUUUUUCAACUUCCAUAUGCAUCUCAUUUCAUAUGCAUGCAGCUAAUUAAUUUUACCCUUUAGAUGAUGCUCAAUUAUCCCCCUCACCUCGCAUGAACAAGGGUUGUGGUUUUAUUGUGUUCUUGAUUUCCUGGCUAAGAAAAUGUUGUUUGUGUCACUCAGGCACGUAUGGCAUCUGCAACCACGCUAGUGACCAUGAUGGAUGGUCUGUCUUCGAUUUUCCUACAAGUAGCGGAAUAUAAGGAGUCUAACAAAUUUGGAUCUUUUAUGGCACUUUCUAGCUCCCUUGGCAAGAUUUUACUGGAACUUCAUAGAGGUAUCUAUAACAUUUGCAGUAACUUAUUGAAUAGAUUGUGGCUUACAGACAUCUGUUAUGUGCUUUUGAUUUUUUUCUUCUCUCUUCAUUAUUUAUUUACAUAUUUUGCUUAAUUUUACACUUUUUGUCUCUUUUCCAUUGAUUUGUAGGUCUUCUUUACCUAAUAGAGCAUGAAGCUCAUACUAAAUUGCUGGUUUUGUUAUUCAGGAUUAUCAAGCUUUUGAUAUCAUCUACACCGUAUGUUUCUUUGCUUCUCAUAUUAUUCUAUUUGUUAAAUUUAGUUAUAAUUGAAAUGGUAAGUUUUUCGUUGUUUUUCUUUUACUCAUAAAUACGUAAAAUAUUCUUUUGGUUUUGGUUAUUGGUUCUCUUAUACUUUCAUGAGAGCCAAAAAAGAUCUUUUUAGAUAAUUGCAAAGGGGGACUUGAGAUAGAAGUAUGGAAAAAUGCUUAAGAGUUUAUUUCAUCUCUUAGCUCAUACAUUCAUACAUAGGAGUUCCUCCAUCUAAUAUUUAGAAAAGCAAUGAUUAAUCCUACUGUACAGAGCAGAUAGGAAACUAGUUGCACAAUUCUGACACAUGCUUGAGCUUGAGUAAAUAGAUGGUAUGUACCAAGCUUGAAACAUAUAAACUGAAUUGAAAGUCCUCUUCAGGACUUAAUCAAAAUCAAUUUCUUCUACUAUUAAUUUUUGGUUUUGGUCCAUUGGACCAUGCACAUGUCUACCAUCAAUCUUACCUAUUUCUUGUAGGAUGUCUAAGGCAUAUUUUUUGAGGAUUUAAAAUACCUUCAUUUCAUUGAGCUAUGUCAAUAGUUCAAAAGUAUUUAAGUAAGUUCAUUUAAAUGAGUAAAUAGAUUGUAUGUACUAAGCUUGAAACAUAUAAACCGAAUUGAAAGUCCUCUUCAGGACUUGAUCAAAAAUCAAUUUCUUCUACUAUUAAUUUUUGGUUUUGGUCCAUUGGACCAUGCACAUGUCUACCAUCAAUCUUACCUAUUUCUUGUAGGAUGUCUAAGGCAUAUUUUUUGAGGAUUUAAAAUACCUUCAUUUCAUUGAGCUAUGUCUCAAUAGUUCAAAAGUAUUUAAGUAAGUUCAUUGGUUUGAAAGUGAUUGCAUAAAUGCUUUUUUAAAUGGGAAAUUGUAGUGACAUCAUUACCUUUAAUGAUUAGAUUUUCAACAUACACAAUUUAGUAUACAAAUCAAAUGAUCAACCUCAUUAUGUUUUAGCCCAAAAGUUUGUACUCUUUGGCGGAUUUCCAAACCAGGACAAUUUAUACACUAACCCACACUACCCUUGGACAAGAAACCUAAGAGGUUGCUUUAUGUAGAUUUUCUUUUCUAGAUCUCCAUGAAGAAAUACAUUCUUGAUAUCUGUUGGAAUCAUUACAUAUAGCUAUCAUCAUUUAGGCUAGUCUGUAGAGUUACUAAUGAGCUGUACCUAGUAGUCUGGUGCAGACUCUUGGUAUUACAUGUACUCUUGUGCUUUUCAUUAUAAAUAGAAGAUAAUGAAAGGGAUCUUUCAAGCCCUCAAGAAUAUUUCUUAUCAGUCUUAAAUCUCAAGUUGGUAUCAGAGCAGGUUCAUCCUGCUCUGGUUUCUGUCCUCAGUUGUCCACCAGCACUGUCGCUGCUAUUCGCACCUGUUCGGUGCCGUUCGCCGUCGUCCUCGACUGUCUCACUAUUAUCUGCAGCUGUCAACUGCAGUUUGAAGUUCUUAAAUUUGGUUGUCCACCAUUCGCCGCCGUCCGCUGUUGUCCACCACUGUCCACUGCCGUCCAACGCCGUCCGCCGCCGGCCACCGUCACAAUUCCGUCUGGCGACCACUGGAUCUAGUUCGCCUCUUCAAGCGACAACCAACCCCACCGGUGGGUUCGCCUGAAUCUCCUCCACGCUCCGCCACGCACAACAUCUUUGUGCGCUGCGAACAGGCGUGUGCCGUCCAUGCGCCACCCUCUGCUCACCAGAAAGUCACCGCGACUCCUCCAUAGCUGUCGCUUAGGCCCCCUCUCUCGGUUCUGACCCUCAAAUCCUAGUUCCCGUGAAGACCCGAAGCUCCUCUUGAAGAAAACCGAGGGUUGUUUGGUUGAUCACGGUCACUGUUGCUCACUGUCCCGAAGCUUCUUCUUCUUUUUUAUCCAGAAUGGCGUCUGGAAGUGUUCUUUCCUUAUCUGGAAGUCCCUCGAUUACUUCCGAAAAGCUAAACGGGAAAAAUUAUUUGUCUUGGUCUGCAGCUGUGGAAAUGUGGUUCCUCGAUCAAGGUCAUUAUGACCACCUUGAAUAGGAUGGAAGCCAAGUACCUUCAGGAAAAGCUGAACAAUGGAAAUAAGCAGAUUUCCAGCUGUGUGCCCUAUUGUGGCAGUAUGUGGAACCACGACUUUUGAUAUCUCUUAGAGCCUUCAGAACUUGUCACUCGUUUUGGAAGAAAGCUCAAAGCAUUUAUGCUAAUGAUAUUCAACGUCUCUAUGAUACAGCAAACAAGCUUGCAAGUCUCAAAAUGACAGAUCAUGACAUGGUCUCCUUCAUGACUGAAGCCCAUGCAGCUGUGGAAGAAUUGAGAAUGUUCUUGGAAGAUGAAUCUUCGGAAGACAUCAAGAAGAAGCUUGACAAGUAUUAUAUGGUGAUGAUCCUCCGUGCUUUGCAUCCAGACUUGAAUCACAUCAAGACCAACUUCUGACAAGCCAUGAGGUCCCAACCUUGGAAGCCUUGACCACACGUCUUCUUCGUGUUCCAGCACCUCAAUCUCAAGAAGCUCAUGAAACACUAGAACCAUCUGUCAUGGUUGCCACACGAGGAAGAGGAGGACAUGGCACUAGAGGAGGAGGACAUGGAGGUUGGGGACGUCCACAGUGCACUUACUGUAAGAGGCCGGGUCACACCCAAGAAAAUUGUUACUCCUUGCAUGGCUUUCUUUCAAAAACAGCCAAUAUCUCUAAGGCUGAAACUUCCACUUCCAACUCCAAGUUCACUGAGGAAGAGUAUCAAGAAAAUCUGCGAUUAAAGUCUAACAGCUUGGCGUAAUCAUCUUAGUCCCCAAGUAUGUCCACAACUUGCAUUUCUCAAUCCAUGGAAGGUCCAAAUUCAUGGGUAAUUGACUCGGGUGCUUCUGACAACAUCUCUGGUAAUACCUCAUUGUUCUCAACCCUUUCCCUCCAAGAAAAACCCCAUUUCAUUACCCUUGCCAAUGGCUCUAAAACUUNUUCAAAGGGAGUNGGUCAAGUCUCCCUAUCUCCCUCUCUCACUCUGAAAUCUGUUCUUUUUGUCCCUCACUGUCCAUUCAAUUUAAUUUCCUUAAGUCAGUUAACCAAAAUGUUACAUUGUUCAAUAACCUUUGAUUCAAACUCUUUUGUCAUACAGGAGCGUGGCUCGGGGCGACAGAUUGGAAAAGGAUAUGAAGNUGGAGGUUUAUACCAUUUUGGAUCUCGUCAACGGGUAUNCUGUGUUGCUGCUCUUCCUCCUAAAGUGUUACAUGAUCGGUUGGGCCAUCCUCACUUGUCAAAGUUAAAAAAGAUGUGUCCUGAACNUAGUAGUCUUCAGACUUUAGAAUGCGAGUCUUGUCAACUAGGAAAACAUGUCAAAUNUGUCUUUCCUAAAAAGUCUCACUCAAUGUGUACUUCUAGUUUUUCUAUUNUUCAUUCUGAUGUCUGGGGACCUAGUCGCGUCUCUUCUUUUGGUUUUAGGUAUUUUGUUACUUUUAUUGAUGAAUAUUCUAGAUGUACUUGGGUUUAUCUAAUGAUAGAUCGCUCUGAAUUGUUACCCAUUUUUACCUCUUUUUUGAAUGAAAUCAAGAACCAAUUUGGUCAAGUAAUGAAAAUCUCUAGAAGUGAUAAUGCUAAAGACUAUUUCUCAUCCUCUUUCUCGGCAAUCCUUAGUUCUCAUGGUAUUUUGCAUCAGUCCACUUGUCCUCAUACACCCCAGCAAAAUGGUAUAGCCGAAAGGAAAAAUAGACACUUGGUUGAAACGGCUCGUACCCUUUUGCUUGGUGCCCACAUUCCUGUUCAUCACUAGGGGGAUGCCAUCUUAACUGCAUGUUUUCUUAUCAAUAGGAUGCCCUCCUCCUCUCUCAAUAAUAAAGUCCCUUUCUCCAUCCUCUUUUCGAAUGAUCCUCUCUUUCACACCCCUCCUCGAGUUUUUGGUUGUGUAUGUUUUGUUCAUGACAUGUCUCCGGGGCUAGACAAGUUGAUAGUCCUAUGGAUCCAAAUCAAAAAUUAACAACAAAAGAACGUGAGUUAUUUUCCGACUCCGAGAGAUAUAGGAGGCUAGUGGGAAAACUAAUCUAUCUCACUAUUACAAGGCCAGAUCUUUCUUUUGCAGUUGGAGUGGUUAGUCAGUUCAUGCAAGCUCCGUGUGUUGGUCAUUGGAAUGCUAUCAUUCGGAUUCUAAGGUAUGUGAAAAAGGCUCCCGGGCAAGGGCUGUUGUAUGAAGACAACGGAAACCUUCAGGUAUUAGGAUAUUGUGAUGCUGAUUGGGCAGGUUCUCCUAUUGAUAGACGGUCUACUACAGGAUAUUGUGUUUUCCUUGGAGGAAACAUCAUCUCAUGGAAAAGUAAGAAACAAAAUGUAGUGGCUUGAUCAACAGCUAAAGCUGAAUAUAUGACAAUGGCUUCAUUAACAUGUGAACUUAUAUGGGUGAAGCAGUUCCUUCAAGAGCUUAGCUUCUGUGACAUCCAGAGUAUGAAAAUGUAUUGUGAUAACCAAGCUGCUCUUCACAUUGCAUCAAAUCCAGUGUUUCACGAGAGAACCAAACAUAUAGAAAUUGAUUGUCAUUUUGUUCGGGAAAAAUUAUUGUCAAAAGAAAUAUGUACUGAGUUUAUUGGAUCAAAUGACUAACUCGCAGAUGUAUUGACUAAGUCAUUGAUGAACCUCGGAUUGAGUUUAUUUGUUCCAAGCUUGGAACAUACAAUCUGUAUGCUCCAGCUUGAGGGGGAGUGUUGGAAUCAUUACACAUAGCUAUCAUCAUUUAGGCUAGUCUGUAGAGUUAUUAAUGAGCUGUACCUAGUAGUCUGGUGCAGACUCUUGGUAUUACAUGUACUCUUAUGCUUUUCAUUAUAAAUAGAAGAUAAUGAGAGGGAUCUUUCAAGCCCUCAAGAAUAUUUCUUAUCAGUCUUAAAUCUCAAGUAUAUCUAACUGAUGGAGAGCCAAUGGCAAAUAGUGGCGAUGACCAAGAAAAGUCUAAAUGUGGGAAUUUU
This 6779-nucleotide long non-coding RNA is filed under the name Vigna radiata. RNAcentral's name for it is "long non-coding RNA (VRAD_LNC002204)". The record is from RNAcentral. Lineage: Eukaryota; Viridiplantae; Streptophyta; Magnoliopsida; Fabales; Fabaceae.